RNAcentral lists this long non-coding RNA (369 nucleotides) under Prunus persica (peach). Its description in RNAcentral is "long non-coding RNA (PPER_LNC003705)". The record is from RNAcentral. Lineage: Eukaryota; Viridiplantae; Streptophyta; Magnoliopsida; Rosales; Rosaceae.
UUUAAACUAAAAUGAAUUAUUAAAAUGUGUGACACUGAAGGUAGCUAGCAAGUCUUAAUUAUACUGCUCAUGGGAACAAGAAAAGUGAACAAAUUAAUUAAUAUUCUGGAGAUGUAUAUGAACUUGCAUACUAAUAUAAUUAAAUAAUUAAAUAAUUAAUUAAUUUGUAUUGGGAUUGUUAGCUGGCAGAAAUGAAUAGAAAUAGAAGAAGAUUGGAAGAUUAGAGGAUGAGAAGAUUGGAAGAGCAAAGCAUGCAGCAGAAGGGUCGCCGGAUCUUUCGCCAUCCCACGUCGCUCAGAUUCCUCUGUUACACCUCCGGAACCUGGACCACUACUUUUAACGCAGCUUCCUGCCUGCUUUCCUUCUCCC